This 232-nucleotide ribosomal RNA is filed under the name uncultured bacterium. Its description in RNAcentral is "partial 16S ribosomal RNA". It matches the Rfam family "Bacterial small subunit ribosomal RNA", at positions 118 to 348 of the family's 1533-position model. The record is from RNAcentral.
UGAGCAAUCUGCCCUUCUCAUCGGAAUAAGCGUUGGAAACGACGUCUAAUGCCGAAUACGACCUCCUUUCGCAUGAUCGGAGGUGGAAAGCUCCGGCGGAGAAGGAUGAGCUCGCGGCCUAUCAGCUAGUUGGUGUGGGUAAUGGCCCACAAGGCGACGACGGGUAGCCGGCCUGGAGAGGGUGAUCGGCCACACUGGGACUGAGACACGGCCCAGACCUCCCGUAAGGGGA